RNAcentral lists this long non-coding RNA (1672 nucleotides) under Leguminivora glycinivorella. RNAcentral describes it as "uncharacterized LOC125233593". The record is from RNAcentral. Lineage: Eukaryota; Metazoa; Arthropoda; Insecta; Lepidoptera; Tortricidae.
GUUUCAACUUAAAAGGAUGUUUAUAACGUCGGGUCUUUACAAUAAAAUGGUAUGUGGGACCUUAAAAUAUUGUGAUGUUGACUAGUGUUUUUAGAGAAAACAUAGCUAAAAAGUUUUUAAAUGCCAUUGAAUAAUCUAGGGAAGAUCUGAAGAGACCUAAGAAGAUAUAACCUAGUAGAAGAUACAAAUUCAAGGGCCCAACCAAUAACACAGAGACAUACCCAGAGCCCAAGGUCAGAAGCUGUACCACAGGAAACCAUAACAACACCACCUCUUCUGCCAAGCCACAUCAUCAGCGGAGGUGUCGCACUCAGCAAUAUUACUAUUACAAUAGCUGUUAAAUGAUCAGCAACCAGCAGUUUCAGCGACGUGUUAUCCUGUUUGCCGCGGGGCUCUCCGGGCAGCGCUGGCGCUGAAGGGGGCGGCGGUGACGUCAUGCUGCAGUCCCUCGCGCCCAACACCGUCAAGCAGUAUCACACGUACUUGACACGCUGGUAUUAAUAUACCAGCAUAUUACAUAUUAAAUAUUAUGUAAUAUGUUUUGUGGAAAAUAAUAUUAAUUGUUUUAAGACAUCUAUUCCACAAAUACUAGGUUUUAACAAAUUGUGUAACGAGGUAGCUGGCUAGCUGGGUAUGAAAGUGUCAAUUGUUGCACAUCUGCUUUGGUGCUUUUAUUGAGAGAAAAGAUCUCAUCAGAUGAUAACGUGAUACGCUUUAUGAAGGUGCGUUUUUUCGUAUAUACCCACCAUAACCUAAAUAUCGAGACGUAAUUGGUUUUAAACAAUUUGUCAACGUUGUCAACAAGUGUGUGAAAUAUCCGAGUAAAAAAUUAGUCACCCUAUUAGCAAUUGUCACAGCACACGGAGUGCAAAAUCUGUACUUGAUAAAGUUAUGUAAUACUAUUUACCAUUAUCCUGAAAAGAUCCUUAUAAAAAUUUCAGACUUUAUUAAAACUUCUAAAGUAGGUAGCUGUACGGAUCAACGAGUGCAUAACAACAUAGUUAUAUGUGGUGGGUGUGAACGACUAUUUAUUGCCUAUGAGAAACCACUUAGAUUAGUAGGUGGAUUAAGUAAAUAAGAUAGUGGUAUUGACACCUCCAUUUUCACCUCCCAUUUGACCCACCAUGCGUCGGUGUUAGCCGCAAAUCGAUUAGGAGUCAAUAUUGAUGUAACCAGAAAAACAUCAGGCCUGAUACUUCUAAAGUUAUCGAUAAAUUUUAUAAUAGGCCCUUAGUGUCUACAAUUGAUUUUGAUAGAGCAUCGAUGAUCGAUGUCUAGUUAGUUAGGAAACAAGUGUUUCCGUCAAUUAACAAUGAAUGUAAAAUUGUAAGCAGUAAUAUAUUACGAAGACUUGUUUAUAUGUACCUAUAGUUAUUGAGUUGUUAAUUCUUAAAAACAAAGAUAGUAUGUAUCUUUGCUGAUUGUGAUAGUUAUAAAACAUAAGUAUUAUAAGAUGGUACUAGAUGAAUAUUAAUAAGGAAGGAUUUCCUUUUGGUUUAAAUACAUUUAUUAAUGUUUGGUAAACGAUGAUAUCACUAGAAAUUUGAAAUUUAAGUGAUUAAGGAUUAUCACGUGUUAAAAAUUCACAUAAUCUUGACAUAAAACAUAAUUUUGCUAGGCUAACAUUGUAUACCUAAUACAAAGCCAGAAAUAAACUUUGUAUAUCUCUAAA